Molecule: ribosomal RNA, 626 nt
Filed under: uncultured bacterium
Lineage: Bacteria
Description: bacterial SSU rRNA
Rfam family: Bacterial small subunit ribosomal RNA
Source: RNAcentral
UUGGUGGGGUAAUGGCCUACCAAGGCGACGACGGGUAGCCGGCCUGAGAGGGCGACCGGCCACACUGGGACUGAGACACGGCCCAGACUCCUACGGGAGGCAGCAGUGAGGAAUAUUGCGCAAUGGGCGAAAGCCUGACGCAGCGACGCCGCGUGAGGGAUGAAGGCCUUCGGGUUGUAAACCUCUUUCAGCAGGGAAGAAGCGAAAGUGACGGUACCUGCAGAAGAAGCACCGGCUAACUACGUGCCAGCAGCCGCGGUAAUACGUAGGGUGCAAGCGUUGUCCGGAAUUAUUGGGCGUAAAGAGCUCGUAGGCGGUCUGUCGCGUCUGCUGUGAAAACUCGGGGCUUAACCCCGGGCCUGCAGUGGGUACGGGCAGACUAGAGUGUGGUAGGGGAGACUGGAAUUCCUGGUGUAGCGGUGAAAUGCGCAGAUAUCAGGAGGAACACCGGUGGCGAAGGCGGGUCUCUGGGCCAUAACUGACGCUGAGGAGCGAAAGCGUGGGGAGCGAACAGGAUUAGAUACCCUGGUAGUCCACGCCGUAAACGUUGGGCGCUAGGUGUGGGGCUCUUUCCAUGGGUUCCGUGCCGCAGCUAACGCAUUAAGCGCCCCGCCUGGGGAGUACGG